Molecule: long non-coding RNA, 2009 nt
Organism: Mus musculus (house mouse)
Lineage: Eukaryota; Metazoa; Chordata; Mammalia; Rodentia; Muridae
Product: predicted gene, 31154
Exons: 9
Source: RefSeq, a predicted model, not a curated record
AGUCCAUUUCUCUUAGUUUAUUUUCAUCAAUGCAGACAGAGUCCUGUCUCCUAGGCUCUCUAGCAGAGAAAAUUCCUUUAGUGGGUUUAUUUACUUUUAAAAUAAGAGAAUCAAAAACACACAGAUAAAGGUUUCACUGGAACAUGGAAGUUCUGUGUGUAGAAGUGAAGGACAGAAUGAAAGGACUGUGAAGGAUGGUGUGAGCUCUAACGACGGGUGAGAUGAUUCUCCAUCUGUUAGUGAAGGAGGAUGAUCGCAGCUCUGUGAAGAGAACUAAAAGUACCCAUGGAGGCCAGAAGGGGGCAUCAGAUUCCCCUGAGAAUGACAUUAACAGAGUGGUAUCAGCUGCCUCAUAAGUGCUUAGAAUAGAGCCUGGGUCCUGUGCAAAACCGGCUGAGGUGGAGAAAUCUUAUGUGCUAAGAACAUUUGGAGGCUCAUUGUUCAACCCAUAGGGUACUUGCACUCGCUCCCAGCUGGACCAGGAUCCUGCAGAACCCUACCUGUUCUGGACUCUGAUUCAUCCUUUAUCCAGUGGGAAAAGCAAUGGAUUUUCUGCUGAUCAUCUGUCAAAUUCCAUGGACAAUUAAACUCCUCAUCUGAAGUGGAGAUGGCACCUUCUCCUUCGUAUCAGAAGCAAGUCCUACUCUUUGACUUAGUAAGAACUGCAAAUCGCUACCGUAACAGACAAGUCCCUAUGAGACAACGUUUCUCACUGAACCAGGGACUUACCCAUUUUGUGAGGCUGAUUGGCCAGCAAGCCCUAGGUUGGGCAAAGACGAGAGAGAGAGAAGGAUGGAUCAAGAUUACAGUAUGUCCUACAUCCUUGCUUCACUACUUUCAAAAGAGGAGAACUGACUUUAAAAGAUAAACUGAAAAUAUACCACUGCUUGCUAAAGAGAAAUAGAGAUAUUGGUUAUGCUAUAAAUGUUCCCUAAAGAAUUGUCAAUUAUAUCACAGAAAGUUCUGAGUGGAGGACCUGGGAGUCAGGUUUCUUGCGUUAAACUCUGGUUCUGUCAAUUCCUCAGGCUGUGCAUGUUUUAGAUUUCUCUUUUUCUAUGCUAUAGGGUCACCAGAACUGAAUGAAUGAAUAGACAUAGAACCAUCACUGGGCAGUUUUAUCAUAAUGAAUUUUGAUUCACUAUAAGUCUAUUCUUAGUUUUUUUUUUCCUUAAAGCUAGGAAUUUUUAGGGAAGACCAUGUGGAAGAUCUCCAGCUAAAUUUAUUUAAAAGCAAAAUUCAGUCUAUGUAUCCCCAGAAGAGCUGUGUAAUUUUGCCUGGAUUUGGAUGCAGGGAUGGAUGGGAUAAAAUGAUUCUCUUUAAUUCUAUUUCUUUAAUCCAAGUGCCUUUUUCUUCUCCAUUCCCAGUGUUGGUUAUAGGGUAUCCUCCAGAGAAGACAGCUUUGACAUGCGUUUCAGCCAAUAGAAAGUCCUUUUUAGCUAGUCAGCAACUACACUGGGUGUUCAGGACCCCAGUGUAGCACGGAGCCUAUCUUAGGGUGAGGUUUUAAGCACAAAACCAAUAACCCAGGUUAACAUACUUCAGCUAACAAGAACAGUUAGCCAGAAGGAACUAUAGAAGCCAAAAUGCAAGGUUAGUACAUUUAGAGAUUUUCCUAGAACUGUGGACUUUGAUGGAUUCUGUCUGUGUUCUUGAUUUUUUUGGCAGGUGGGGAUGGCUGUGUGCUAUGUUUUAUGGCUUAAAUGGUAUUUAGAUUAUUGAGUCAGCUGUGCUAAGGCAUGGGGGCCUUCUAAGGUCUAGGAACCUGUUACAAUAAUCUUCUACUACUACUACUACUACUACUACUACUACUACUACUACUACUACCACCACUACUACACAGUGUCCUUCCAUGUAGCCUUGACAGUCCCUCUUUAUAGAGAUCAGUCUGGCCUUGAACUUGUUAAGAUCCAUUUGUUUCUGCCUCCCAAGUGCUAGGAUUAAAGGUGUACACCGUUCUUUCUGGUUCCUGCUGUCCUUUAAAAACAAACAAACAAACAAGCAAGCAAGCA